UGGGGAAUUUUGGACAAUGGGCGAAAGCCUGAUCCAGCAAUGCCGCGUGUGUGAAGAAGGCCUUCGGGUUGUAAAGCACUUUUGUCCGGAAAGAAAUCCUUGGCUCUAAUACAGUCGGGGGAUGACGGUACCGGAAGAAUAAGCACCGGCUAACUACGUGCCAGCAGCCGCGGUAAUACGUAGGGUGCAAGCGUUAAUCGGAAUUACUGGGCGUAAAGCGUGCGCAGGCGGUUUGCUAAGACCGAUGUGAAAUCCCCGGGCUCAACCUGGGAACUGCAUUGGUGACUGGCAGGCUAGAGUAUGGCAGAGGGGGGUAGAAUUCCACGUGUAGCAGUGAAAUGCGUAGAGAUGUGGAGGAAUACCGAUGGCGAAGGCAGCCCCCUGGGCCAAUACUGACGCUCAUGCACGAAAGCGUGGGGAGCAAACAGGAUUAGAUACCCUGGUAGUCCACGCCCUAAACGAUGUCAACUAGUUGUUGGGGAUUCAUUUCCUUAGUAACGUAGCUAACGCGUGAAGCUGACCGCCUGGGGAGUACGGUCGCAAGAUUAAAACUCAAAUGAAUUGACGGGGUCAUAGCUGUUUCCU
RNAcentral lists this ribosomal RNA (585 nucleotides) under uncultured bacterium. RNAcentral describes it as "partial 16S ribosomal RNA". It matches the Rfam family "Bacterial small subunit ribosomal RNA", at positions 355 to 1375 of the family's 1533-position model. The record is from RNAcentral.